GAUGGUUUAGCCCGGUUGCCUAGGAGACCGAGAGUAACACCCGUGGCGAAGCCCGCGAGCAGCGCUAUGGCCACGUUAGCCCGGCUGCAGGCCAGGUCCGCGAGUGUAGCCCGCCAGUACUACUACAGAAACAGUGUUGUCGAUGUAUUUCGAAAAAAGGAGAAUGAUGCAGCGGUUAAAAUCCAGAGCUGGUUUCGAGGAUGUCGAGUUCGAGCAUAUAUCAGUUAGCAUAUUACACUAUGAAGAUGAAUCUCUACAAUGCAAUGGCUGUCAGGCAUGGAGAUCACGCCCUGUUUACAAGGUUACCCCGAGAAUUAAAGGAGUUGGCAGUUCGCAUAAUGCCUGGACAUUCAUGGGUCUCUAUUCAGAGGCGGUGGCGAGGUUACAAGAUUCGGAAAUACUGCUUUAAUUAUUACUAUUUGAAGGCGUACCUGAAAGCUGUUUCAGAGACCAAUGAAGCCGUUAGGGAGGCACUGGAGGAGUUUGCAGACAUGAAAGAAAGGGAAGAGAGGAAAGCCGACCUCGAAAAGGAAGAGAAGAAAAGAGAUUACCAAGCCCGAAAGACGCAUUACCUCCUCAGCACAAAGCAGAUUCCAGGAGUAUACAACUCACCAUUCAGAAAGGAGCCUGACCCACGGGAGCUGAGGUUACAGAAGGCGAAGCCUUUAACGCACCCAAGACCUAAAGUGACACCCAAGCGCUCUGCCAGCCUUCGAAACUGGCUCGAGUGCACCAGGGCCCGGUCCUUUCCUCGAUCUGCGGUUCUGCCACCCAUCGACAGGAAACCGUGUCAGGGACCCUUCCGUGACAUCGCGGAAGUCUUGGCGCAGCGCUACAAGCCCCUGGAGCCGACGCUGCGGGUGGCAGAACCCAUUGAUGGUCCCAAGGAGGCCAGAGCCGAGCUCCAGAGGCAGGAAUGGACGCGAAAUGUGCAGGACAAUCUGUUUUUGCCGUUUUCUUCCUACCAUAAAAGUAAAAAGCACAUCCCGGCAAUGCAUUUAUCAAGCAAGUAUGGUCCUGAUUCUUACGGAAGCCGACAUUUCCGAGAAAAAAAUCCUGAGAGAUGGAUCUGUGACAAGGAUUUCCAAACUGUGUUACCAUCAUUUGAUCUCUUCUCCGAGUAUGGAAAAUUAUAUUCAAAAGCUGGACAAAUUGUAUAAAGGGUGAAGUUGGUUUUGUGGCUGUCUUGCCACCUUUUUCUCCUUCUGGGCUGUCAGACUUCUAAGGAGACCUGGAGGGAGAAAGCUUGAAGAACUUGUUAGUCCACAGCUGCCUCCCUGUCGAGGAUGGCAUUUGGAGCUGUAAUAAGUGUUGAAACCUUAUUGUGUUUAAAUGAGCUAAGAUAUGUGAGCCACCAUCAGCAAUAACUACCUUUGAGAGCAUCCUAGAUACUGCAUCCCUAGAUAGUCUCAGGAUUGGAGCUGGUCAUCAAGAAGAGCAAACCUUGAUUAGAGCUUGGAACUUUCAGCUUCAUCCUCAACCUCAGAAGAGAAGAAAGGAGAAAGAAAGACUGAACGCUCACUCAACAGUUCAUCGCACACUGAAGAGCAUCCUUCAUCCAGGGUCAGUAUUUACCUUGUUGAAAGCGGGGCCAGCACUUAGCAACUUCACUGUGGUCCAGAAGGAGGUUCACCAAUGGGUAACUGUGGAAUCUGUUAGUUAGGAUGGAUAUCUUAGAACUCUUGAGGUCAAGGCCCAGGAAAUUGUCAGUUCCUACCAAUGUUUUGUAUUGGGGGGGGGUGGCUGCAUUUUUUACAGAAAACUAGACAGAGUUAGGCAGUGAUUUUGAUUGGUGAUUUGCAGUGGAAAUUAUUUCCUCUUAGACUGAAACUAUGUUUAUGACUAGACAUUUCUUCAUAGUGGUUACAGGUUCCUUAAAAAACGUUUUCAAAACAUUGGAAGUAAUUUGACUACACAACCACAUUUUGAACUUUCCCAGAAAAAUUAAAACAAACAAAAACCAAACUGUUAGGCUGUUAACAUUUCUAUAUGUCUCUAGGCAAAAAAAAAAAAAAAGUUUUCCCAUGAAAUCCAUUGUGUCUAAAGCAGCAUUUACAAGAUGGCAAAUACUGGAUUAAGAGGAAAAUCCUGUUAUCUGAAGGUUUAAUCAUAUAACGCCUACAUCAGCAUAAUGGAAAAUAGCUGAUAAUUGGCCAGAUGUUUGGCUUUUCAUUUGAUCGGUUGUUUUCAAAUUAUUUUCUACCCCAACACACCUGAGGGUAGCAACACACCCCAUCAGUUAGAGUAAUUCUCAAGGGGAGAGGGGGCCUGUUCAGCUCCGGGGGGAGGGAGAGGGUUGGAAAAAGCCCCUCAGGUGACUCGGCAAUGUGCCCCUGGGGCACCAUCAUGUGGCAAAGACUAAGUAGAAAUGAGGCGUUUUAUGAGUGAGCUGUUUCAGUGGCAUCGCACUGAAAAUGACAUCAUCAAUUAUGGUAUUUAAGUCUUCCAUUUUGCAAAGAUAAAAACUAGACCGAUUUUAAGGCUUGGUUUACAGGAGCAGAGACAGAAAGCUCAUCAAGAAGGACUGGAGGGUAAGUGAUCCGUUUGGACGAUGGAGUGAGACUCUUGAGACCAAACUGCUGUCCUCAGUCUCUCUCUAUGGCACUUCGGGGGGUGGGGAGCACCGUGGUACUUAUUUAAGCAAAGCACCGCUUCCGGCCGGAUCUUACUUCUCUAUUAAUUCAAUCCACGUGCAUCCCGUCCUCGCACCUACGGAGUUUCACAACUCCACGUUGCAUAGCCCCGUAAGUUGUCAGUUCCUUGGGUGGUAAAAAAAAUCUUGAAUUGCUCUCAAAAACUGGGUCAAUAGAUGCAUUUCAGCGUUAGGCAUGUAAAACCAAAUGCAAGCCAGUUUUAAAUUUAAAAAGUGAAUUUUCCUUAUACUUUUUUUUUUUUUUGGAAAAGCCAUGCCAUCCACUGUUUUCCAGUUCCGCAUUCUGUAUAUUUGUUUAAAUCCGUAUUAUAUACAUGUAGCUCCAUACCCGUGGUAUGCAGACACACCCAAUUUAACCAUAUUAAACCAAAGAUUAAUGUCCAGAAUUAGGUGACUAAUAUACCACAUGAGCUUGGCCAUUUAAUUAAUAUCAAAUGUUCAAACAUAAAAUAAAAUAUAAGAACUCUUACCCUCACUUUAACAUAUAAUUUACCUAGACAAUUAAGAAAGAUGGAAUCACAGAAGUAUAAUGAGCUUAUAGCCCCUGUUCUCUUUACCUUGAUUAAUUGUUUUGUUCCUGACCAUGCCUGGGUAGGUUCCCAAUUUCUGAGGGCCAAUUGUAUAUAUAUCCAAAUGUGAAGGUCUUUCUUGUUUCCUGUGACUCCGAAGAAAAAUGGGCACAGCCACAUCAAUGAAACCUGGAAAGGAUUAUCAGUUAGCUCCAGAAAUAACCUUGACACCUUCCAAUUGCAAAAUCCACCUGCAAGCUUUAGUGAUAGGCAUGGAAGCAAGAUGCUUUCCAAAAAUUAUUCCUCAGAAAAGUGAGUCACCUUAUUUUUGAAGGCUUGAGAGCUUUAUCAUGUCCAAGUUUACUCUCAAUUACUUCAUUUUGAAAAGUAACAUAUUGAAGAAAAAAAAAAUGAACAGCUUUAAAUGACCUCAAUUAAUGUUAUUGGUGGAAAUUGCUAAGAAGAAAAAAAGUGUCUAAGGAAUAAAGCAGGUUAGCAAUUAUUCUGGGAGUAUAGACCACAAUUGCUAGUAUUGUUUGUCAUUAUAUUUGAGACUUUUAAAGGUCACUUUAAAACAAUACCUCCCUGUGAAGAACACUAAUGUACACAUGCGAACGUAGAAAACCAAAAAGCUAGCCAAACGUAAAACGCAUGGUCGCUAUGGCAUGGAAUAGUCUUUUUAGUGACAUUAUCAUAUAUAGAUCUAAAGGUGCUAUCUCUCAAACAGAUUAGAAGAAAGUGCAAGGAAAACCACUGUAACUCUGAUGACAAAUGAGGCUCACUGGUGAUAAAGACACCGGUAUCAAAGAUGCAAGGAAAAAAAUUUACCUAAAACUGAGGUGUGAAAUGUGACAAGAGCCAAAGCGUUCAUUUUGAAAACUGGUAUAUUACUCUCUACGUUUGUAUAUAUCUAAAGAAAAUUAUAUAAGUAGAUUUUGAUUAUUCCAAAGGUACCUCAAAAUUAUUUAUUUCCAAGUUCAAUAGUUGUUUUAAAAAUCUUAACAAUGGGAUGAAUGAAUCCCGCCCUCUAGUUGGGUUCUCAUUCUGUGGGGGUGCAUAUGGUAUUAGGUUCAUACCUUUAGGUUUUAAAGUUAGGUGUGUUAACCUGUGCUUGGCUCAAAGAAGUUAUUUGUUCAGUUUAAACACUACACAUUAUUAUUAUUUAUCAUUUAAUAGUUAUUUCAUGUGAAUUGCAGGAGCUGGUUAUACCUCUUUUUUUCUUUUCUUUUCUGUUACCUUUGCAAGUAUAUGUUAAGUCAUUGUAGUCAGAAGAUAAUAUGUUGGUCACUUGGAAUUUUAAGGUUUAUAAUAUGAAAUUUUUUCGUGGUGGUACAUGAUCAGAUUUAGCAAAUAAAAUAAGAAUGCCUGGUGAAAUUUCAAUCUCAGCUAUCCCAUGAACAGUGUUUUUGGAAUAUGUUUGUCCCAUGAAAUACAUGGGACAUACCUUUAAGUUUCAGUUAAGUAUGUUAAGCUGUGCUUGACUCAAAUAAGUUAUUUGCUCAACUUAAAAACAAAGCAUUAUUACUUGUCAUUUAAUAAUUAUUUCAUGUUCAUUGUAAUAGCAGGCUGUAUCUAUUUUUUCUUUUCUCUUGUUAAAAAAAAAUCAGGAGUUCCCGUCGUGGCGCAGUGGUUAAGGAAUCCGACUAGGAACCAUGAGGUUGCGGGUUCGGUCCCUACCCUUGCUCAGUGGAUUAAUGAUCCGGCGUUGCCGUGAGCUGUGGUGUAGGUUGCAGACGCAGCUCGGGUCCCAGGUUGCUGUGGCUCUGGCGUAGGCUGGCAGCUACAGCUCCGAUUCGACCCCUAGCCUGGGAACCUCCAUAUGCCACAGGAGCGGCCCAAGAAAUAGCAAAAAGACAAAAACAAAAACAAAACAAAACAAACAAACAAACAAAAAAUCAGCUGUUUAUCUGAAAUGUAUAUUUAACUGGUUGUCCUGUAUUUUACCUGGUAACCUUUUCUAGAGCGAAUUAAGAACUGAUUUGCUAUAUUUAAAAAGUUGGAGUGGGGGACACUGUGAGUAGGGUUUUCAGUAUGCCAAUUUUAGGCGCACAUUGAUUUUCCUGACUCAAAACAUGGACCAAUGGGCCCAAGGUGGGCUUGUCUGACUGACUCAGUACGUACGACAUCCAUUCCAGAAUAACCCCAUGCUCUGUCUUCUCUCCCACGGUUGACAUUUAUAUCUUUGCCUCUCGCUUCGUAGAGCUGUUUCAGACACAAAUGGCACGAAGGGUAUGACAUCCGACAGAGCGACGUUGCAGGAUGCUAGUAGCACAAGCGGUUGGGGGGGAUGUGUUAUCCCAGUGAUGGAAUGCGCCGUCCAUUCUUGUCAUCUUUCCAGCCUUCGCGGAAGGUUUUUCAACAAGGGGACCACGUAGGACCUGGUGUUACUUCUGCGCAACCUCGGCGCCCUUUACUGUGGCACAUACGUGAUAAAGGUUCCCCAGGGAGUGUUCCGCAGGAGUCCGCAGCGCGCAUUUUCCGUGCAAUUUAUUCCUACCCAGUGGGCACCUCAACGUCCUUUGUGUGUAGGAGCCACGUGUGUUCCAGCCAUAAAGAGCAGAGGAGGUCUCUUUUCUCCCCCACGCUUGCAGACCUUGGGCCUCAGACCCAUUCGUCCCCCCUUUGGAACCACUGACGGGGGCUUGGGCGCCAGGACAAAAGUCCCACUACUCCAGAUAGUCUGUGAUUGGUUAACUAGACAAAGCCCAACAGGUCAGGUGACCCAUUUUUGCUUUUUGACAGUGCGAGUCAAAGUACUUAACUUCAAUCACGAUCUCAUUUACCCACCCCACCCCCUGCCCCCCCAAAAUAAAAAGCAUGACAGUGAACACUAAUAUGAUGGUAAUUUCAUAUUGUUUCUGCUUAUGAAUUUGUCUUUCCCUUAUUAAUCAUCCAAUAAAGUACUGACACUGCAGAAUCCUGACGUGGCUCAACAAACCAUGGCCUAAGGACAGUAGCACCCUGAAGGAAGAGGCUCCCGGCGAACUGGAGAAGCGCAAAGCUUUUAUUAACACCAGAGGACCAUUAGACGGCUCUCUGUUCACCUUCAGUGGAGCAAUAAAUGAAGAGAGCUUCACCGGAGAGGACUCCUACUGUCUUUGUGCCGGUAAUGCCCAGCCAAGCUGUAGUCAUGUUGUAACGCUUGUAAGAAACAGAUGUUCCUUCCCUGACAAAUCUCCUUUCUUGAUUUAUUAUUCAUUUGCUCAAAUCACAAUGGAAAGUCUUUGGCCCAUUAAUUAAAUUCCAAGCAAAAUAAAAUUUGCAGCAGAACUCAUUACUGGUAAAUGACUUUGACACUUCAUCAGAUUUGAAGGUAAAAGAGGCGACUUCAGGAAGUGAAAGGUGGAGGGAGCCUAGGCCUUUUCUGCAACCACUGCAAGAUGAUAAAGAUUGUGAUGAAAUUUUUAUGUUAAGUACUGAUCUUGGAAAGUUCAAUUUUCUACAUGCCCCCCCCCACAGCCCAAUCCAUUCCCCACCUCCUUCCCCCCCUACCCCCCACCUCCCACUGUGAUAUACUUUCUGGCUUCCUUUAAAGGAAAGUCUGAAGGAGACGCUUAGAUUUCAAAUAUAUUUAUGAAUGUGGGUAUCAUGUCUUGUUCCAAACACUAAGGCACUUUUUUUUUCCAGUAUGCAGAGAAGCUUGACACAUUGCAUGUUUGAUGUCUUACCUUUUGAAUCAAGGUCCAGGGGAAAUCUAACAAAACCAUGAGCUGCAGCAUGAUCAAGGAAUCAGAACUAGGACUUAAGAACAGAGCAGAGGAAAUUUUGAUAUCCUGAUCCAAAUAGCCACGAUUAUUUUCUACACCGAAGCAAAAAUGUUAGAAUUUCAAGCCGUGCGUGGAUUAUGCCCAAUCACAAGCAACUCAAAGGGAAAGAAGACACAUGCUUCCAGAAGAAAGGCAGAACGUAUGGUUUUCUUUGGAAAUUGUAUACGCAUUGAAAAAGAAAAUUUGAAAAUGUGAAAAAUGAUAACUAGCUAUAAAAUGAAGUUUGCUCUGCACGGGAAGUUCAAUUCUAUUUCUGCUUACAUAAUGUUACUUGUAGGUAGGAGUCUUAUGAAUGAACUCUCUCUAGCCCCAAUAAUUCAAAUAGCUUUCCCAAUGCAAUUGUGUGUCAUGAUACUUACCUUCUGCAGUUAUUUAUCCACUAAGGACAUCAAACAUUAAAGCUAUGUUUUUUAAAGAACAUGUUACCUCUUGAAUCGAGGCCAUAGGAAGAGGAGCUAUUUAACAAAUGCAGUGCUAAAAUCACCCAUGUUAAAGAAUAAGACAAAUAAUAUAUUUUUUAUCACUCGAAUCCAAAUAUCCAGUUCUGAAAUCAGCGUAGGUGAAGCUCUACCACGUGGUAUUGUCUCUCUGCUCAUCCACCUUAUUUAUUUAUUGUCUUUUUAGGGCUGCACUUUUGGCAUAUGGAGUUUCCCAGGCUAGGGACCCAAUCGGAGCUGUAGCCUCUGGCCCAUAUCACAGCCACAGCAAUGCUGGAUCCUUAACCCACUGAGUGAGGCCAGGGAUUGAACCUGCAUCCUCAUGGAUACUAGUCAGAUUCAUUUCCACUGAGUCACGAGGGGAACUCCUGCUCAUCCACUUUAAGUAAACUUUUGUUUAUGAAACUUAGCAGAAAAUAUAAGAAAGUGAAUGAAAAACGGUGGAAAGCUUUAGGCAAAAUGUUAACUUAUUUUUAUCCUUUCAAGUACCAGGUUAUAAUGUCUAGGUGCUUAAAAUUAAGAUAAAGUACGAUUGUUGCCAGACACAGCUAAGUUUUCACAUGGACCUCAAGAUCUCAGAUGAGUAGUAUUUAAUACGUAUGUCUCAGUAACAGCCUCGAAAUGUAGACACCCUUAAUUAAAGAUCUGUGAUGACUCAGGAAGUGUCAGUGCUGAAAUUUGUUCAUCAUGUCAUACAGUGCUUGUUAUACGAAUGAAAUGCCACCAAGAGGGAAAGGCGAUGUUACCCUAUUUAGGAGAGGGAUCUGUGUUACCUGAAAAGAUUGAUAAGAUGCUUGAUAAGAUGAUGCAACUUAUUUUUACCAAAAAUUUAAGGGGAUCCACAAAGUUCCCAAAGGCAAAGAAAAACCCAAACAUAUUUUGCCAUAGACUGAAAAGUAGCAGCUACAUUUCGACUGAAACGUCCUCCUUCCUCUGGUUUGUCUCAGCCAUCCCAGUUAGACUCGCUGUCUUCAAUCUCAAUGCCUUCUCCUUGCUCUGAGAAAUGAGAACGUGAGAAACAAAGAAACCCACAUGUGAAAACAACACAGUGAAAAACACAAACAAGCCUUGGGCAAACCAAAGACCCAAAGAAAGUCCAGAGAAUGUUCUGAAGUUUAAUGACAGAGGCUGCAGGCUAGUCCUUGAUCCUACAGAGACCCGCUGCCUCUUUUGUGGUCAGACGAAGACUCUUUUGGCCUAAUGGUAGAUAAUACACUAUGCUAGAUAAUGCUAGUAGAUAUACAGAAGGCUUUAUAAAAAGGUGAAAGAAAUUAUCCAUUCUGGGAGUUCCCGUCAUGGCGCAGUGGUUAACAAAUCCGACUAGGAACCAUGAGGUUGCGGGUUCGGUCCCUGCCCUUGCUCAGUGGGUUAACCAUCCGGCGUUGCCGUGAGCUGUGGUGUAGGUUGCAGACGCGGCUCGGAUCCCGUGUUGCUGUGGCUCUGGUGUAGGCCGGUGGCUACAGCUCCGAUUCAACCCCUAGCCUGGGAACCUCCAUAUGCCGCGGGAGCGACCCAAGAAAUAGCAAAAAAGACACACACACAAAAAAAGAAAUUAUCCAUUCUGAAUCAACGUCAUAGUUUUAAUUUGAUAAACAUUCCAAAGUCCUUCUAUCAACUAAGUAACUGUCUAUUAAAGGAGUCACGUUAGUUGACUACCCACUUGCUCUAAAGACACCGCCACUGCUCAAAAACUGUAACGCUGUACGAAAUGCCUUGAGUCGUUGGUGUCAUUUAAUUAGAGUCAAGUUUCUUUUUAGACUAUGGGUGACAUUAUGCCUGUGAUGAUCAAAUUAUCCAUCCAAUUUUAAGCCUACAUGAUAUUUGGCUAUUUCCAAAAAAACCCCCAAAAAAACAAACAAAAAAACCCACAAUUUGCUGUUAAUCAGGACAUUUUUGGAUUCUUGAGGUUGUUUCAAGCAGGAGCUAUAAUGUGUUGCUGCAUUAAUGGAAUUUAUGUGUAUCUUCCCAAGGUGACAACCAGUUCUAGCUUAUUAGCUAAAAUGGCAUAUUAUAGUCACACAGAGCUCUAGACAGUAAAGAAACUGGCAUAUUGUUAGCCCUGUCCCCUUAUUUUUGUCCUAUUAAUACACUGACAGUGGACGCGUGAAUGUAACAAUGUCACAGGCCCUUUCUGCAUUUGCUUCUUCACCCUAAAGUAAAAAAUAACGGAGUUCUCUUCAUGGCUCAGUGGUUAACGAAUCCAACUAGGAACCAUGAGGUUGUGGGUUGGAUCCCUGGCCUUGCUCAGCAGGUUAAGGAUCUGGCGUUGCCAUGAGCUGUGGUGUAGGUCGCAGACAUGGCUCAGGUCCUGCGUUGCUGUGGCUGUGGUGUAGGCUCGCAGCUACAGCUCUGAUUCAACCCCUAGCCUGGGAACCUCCAUAUGCCACAGGUGUGGCCCUAGAAAAGACAAAAAAUAAAAAAAAACAAUUUCCAAAGCUUUAAAGGUGCGUAUCUAUCCUUCUAAUACCCCAGAUAAAAGCAUUAAGAGAAUGCACGGCUAGUUCUUCUUGCAUGAUGCUGUAGGUAUUUGGUACCUAAAUUAUUAGGAAAAAGUAAGGUCUUGAAGCAACCAACCAAAAAAGCACAGAUGAAAAAUUGACUUUACACACUGGAAUGAAGCGUAUCAGGAGCCGAAGUUCAGUCCAGUAAAUAACAAGGUGUCUCGAGGGUAAUUAAUUGAACAAAAAGAUGCUAAAUAAAAAAAUUGGAGAAGGAGAAGUUGGAGGUGGAGGAGGAGCAAGUAGCGGUGGAUUUUUUUUGCAGUAGGUUUGUAAAGGAGGAGGCACAGAAAAGGCCGAGACAGAAUACGCUUUCCCCCCAUGAAAUGAAAACCAUCGCUAUCAGGAUUGGUGGCCUAAUCAUAAUCUAGCGGUACCUUAGCAGCCUUUUUGUGGCUGGAUGAUUUCAUUGCUGAAAAUGGUGGGCUUCAGGCUAUGGUUAGAAGUUUUCUCGUUCUCUCCUUGGAUUCUAGCAUCUCCUUAUGACUCCACAUGGCCUCCUGGGAAAUAAACACCUUUUUAGAAGGUGGUUGUAUGAGUCAGGUAUAUGGUGCAGUACAAAUGUGUGUCCAUUACGGUAAAAAUUAUUCCAAAGGGUAAUGGAAAGCAUACUAAGCCCACUGGGGGGGCAGAUAACUGUUAUAAAAGAUUUUAUAAUCUUUAAGAUCAUCAGAUUAAUCUGUGACAUGCAUGAUAUUCAACUUAUAAGUACAAAUAACAUACUGUGGGAUUUUAGGUACGUGUUUAGGGUGACAAAUUAAAGGCAAAAGAAAGAUUAUGUUCCCUUUCAACGUGAAACAAAAUGCUACAUUUAGGAAACAUCAUAUAUUGUCCAGAAUUCUGGUUAAAUUGUUGGAAUGAUU
This is an RNA transcript of Sus scrofa (pig), 10727 nucleotides long. It is a transcript of the gene named spermatogenesis associated 17, with no coding region annotated. Lineage: Eukaryota; Metazoa; Chordata; Mammalia; Artiodactyla; Suidae. The record is from RefSeq and is marked provisional.